CAACUUUUCCCUAGACAGGGACUUACAUUCAGCUUUUAUAUAUUGCUUUCUGAUGUAGGAAUAAGAAGACAUUGUGGGCAACGUGAUUGUUUCUUUCCCAGAACACGUCUGCUCCCAAAGGGGAGCAAAGAUAGAAGGUCAGAAGAAAGAGCAGGAGGCAAUGGAAGGUACUUUUCUUCUCUUCCUGAAGAGAAAUAUCUAGAAGAAGUGAUUGGCCACCUUUGCAAAUGUGCCUUGGACCAGCCAUGGGUGUCUGAGAUGUAUCCUACUCAAUAAGGUAACAGCAGUGACAUUAUUGGUAGUUUUAAUAUUAAUAGUAAUAAAAAUGUCAUCUACUCUGA
RNAcentral lists this long non-coding RNA (341 nucleotides) under Felis catus (domestic cat). Its description in RNAcentral is "lncRNA (ENSFCAG00000042485.2)". The record is from RNAcentral. Lineage: Eukaryota; Metazoa; Chordata; Mammalia; Carnivora; Felidae.